RNAcentral lists this ribosomal RNA (450 nucleotides) under uncultured Glomeromycotina. Its description in RNAcentral is "SSU rRNA". It matches the Rfam family "Eukaryotic small subunit ribosomal RNA", at positions 569 to 1023 of the family's 1831-position model. Lineage: Eukaryota; Fungi; Glomeromycota. The record is from RNAcentral.
AGCAGCCGCGGUAAUUCCAGCUCCAAUAGCGUAUAUUAAAGUUGUUGCAGUUAAAAAGCUCGUAGUUGAAUUUCGGGGUCAGUAGGUUGGUCAUGCCACUGGUAUGUACUGGUCUCACUGAUUCCUCCUUCCUGAUGAACUGUAAUGCCAUUAAUUUGGUGUUGCAGGGAAUCUGGACUGUUACUUUGAAAAAAUUAGAGUGUUUAAAGCAGGCUAACGCUUGAAUACAUUAGCAUGGAAUAAUGAAAUAGGACGUUCGAUCCUAUUUUGUUGGUUUCUAGGAUUGACGUAAUGAUUAAUAGGGAUAGUUGGGGGCAUUAGUAUUCAAUUGUCAGAGGUGAAAUUCUUGGAUUUAUUGAAGACUAACUACUGCGAAAGCAUUUGCCAAGGAUGUUUUCAUUAAUCAAGAACGAAAGUUAGGGGAUCGAAGACGAUCAGAUACCGUCGUAG